RNAcentral lists this ribosomal RNA (492 nucleotides) under uncultured bacterium. Its description in RNAcentral is "partial 16S ribosomal RNA". It matches the Rfam family "Bacterial small subunit ribosomal RNA", at positions 28 to 507 of the family's 1533-position model. The record is from RNAcentral.
GAUGAACGCUAGCUACAGGCUUAACACAUGCAAGUCGAGGGGAAACGACAUCGAAAGCUUGCUUUUGAUGGGCGUCGACCGGCGCACGGGUGAGUAACGCGUAUCCAACCUGCCCAUCACUUGGGAAUAACCUUGCGAAAGUAAGACUAAUACCCAAUGAUAUCCCACGAAGGCAUCGGAAUGGGAUUAAAGAUUUAUCGGUGAUGGAUGGGGAUGCGUCUGAUUAGCUUGUUGGCGGGGUAACGGCCCACCAUGGCAACGAUCAGUAGGGGUUCUGAGAGGAAGGUCCCCCACAUUGGAACUGAGACACGGUCCAAACUCCUACGGGAGGCAGCAGUGAGGAAUAUUGGUCAAUGGGCGAGAGCCUGAACCAGCCAAGUAGCGUGCAGGAGGACGGCCCUAUGGGUUGUAAACUGCUUUUAUAAGGGAAUAAAGUGGGUCUCGUGAGACUUUUUGCAUGUACCUUAUGAAUAAGGACCGGCUAAUUCCGUG